Molecule: ribosomal RNA, 468 nt
Filed under: uncultured bacterium
Lineage: Bacteria
Description: partial 16S ribosomal RNA
Rfam family: Bacterial small subunit ribosomal RNA
Source: RNAcentral
GACGAACGCUGGCGGCGUGCCUAACACAUGCCAGUCGAACGGAAAGGCCCUGCUUUUGUGGGGUGCUCGAUUGGCGAACGGGUGAGUAACACGUGAGUAACCUGCCCUUGACUUUGGGAUAACUUCAGGAAACUGGGGCGAAUACCGGAUAGGAGCUCCUGCUGCAUGGUGGUGGUUGGAAAGUUUCGGCGGUUGGGGAUGGUCUGGCGGCUUAUCAGCUUGUUGGGCGGGUUGGUGCUGCCCAAGGGUUUGAAGGGUAGGCUGCCUGAGAGGGCGACCGGCGACCUUGGGCCUGAGGUACGGCCCAGUAUGCUACGUGACGCAGCAGUGGGGAAUAUUGCGCAGUGGGCGCAAGCCUGAUGCGGCGACGCCGCGUGCGGGAUGCCGGCCUUCGGGUUGUAAACCGCUUUCGCCUGUGCCGAAGCGUGAGUGACGGUAAUGGGUAAAGAAGCACCGGCUAACUACGUG